CAAUAGCGUAUAUUAAAGUUGUUGCAGUUAAAAAGCUCGUAGUUGGAUUUCUGGUUGAAGCGACCGGUCGGGCGUUGAUUCGUCUGCACUGGAGUCGGUUUUGGCCAUCCUCUAGGAAAGUGCGUCUGGUAUUAAGUUAUCGGGCGUAUGAUCCUGGUCUUUUACUGUGAAAAAAUUAGAGUGUUUAAAGCAGGCCUUCGCCUUGAAUACAUUAGCAUGGAAUAAUAAGAUAGGACUUUGGUCUAUUUUGUUGGUUUGCAGACCGAAGUAAUGAUUAGUAGGGAUAGUUGGGGGUAUUUAUAUUCCGAUGUCAGAGGUGAAAUUCUUAGAUUUUCGGAAGAUAAACUUAUGCGAAAGCAUUUACCAAGGAUGUUUUCAUUAA
This 382-nucleotide ribosomal RNA is filed under the name uncultured eukaryote. RNAcentral's name for it is "partial 18S ribosomal RNA". It matches the Rfam family "Eukaryotic small subunit ribosomal RNA", at positions 592 to 976 of the family's 1831-position model. The record is from RNAcentral.